CCUACGAGUGGCAGCAGUGAGGAAUAUUGGUCAAUGGGCGGAAGCCUUAACCAGCCAAGUAGCGUGCAGGAUGACGGCCCUACGGGUUGUAAACUGCUUUUGUACGAGGGUAAAUCCCGAUACGUGUAUCGGGUUGAAAGUAUCGUACGAAUAAGGAUCGGCUAACUCCGUGCCAGCAGCCGCGGUAAUACGGAGGAUUCAAGCGUUAUCCGGAUUUGUUGGGUUUAAAGGGUGCGUAGGCGGUUCGAUAAGUUAGAGGUGAAAUCCCGGGACUCAACGCCGGCACUGCCUCUGAUACUGUCGGGCUAGAGGUUAGUUGCGGUAGGCGGAAUGUAUGGUGUAGCGGUGAAAUGCAUAGAGAUCAUACAGAACACCGAUUGCGAAGGCAGCUUACCAAACUACGACUGACGUUGAGGCACGAAAGCGUGGGGAGCAAACAGGAUUAGAUACCCGGGUAGUC
RNAcentral lists this ribosomal RNA (460 nucleotides) under uncultured bacterium. RNAcentral describes it as "partial 16S ribosomal RNA". It matches the Rfam family "Bacterial small subunit ribosomal RNA", at positions 338 to 795 of the family's 1533-position model. The record is from RNAcentral.